CAAUAGGGGUGUGACGAGAUCUCGUGACGAAAAUGUGACGAUACAAAACAGUAGAUGAGCUCCGCGGUACAGUUAAAAAGCUUUGCGCGACAGUAGGUGAGCUCCGCGGUACAGUUAUAAAAAGCUCCGUGCGACAGUAGAUGAGCUCCGCGGUACAGUUAAAAAGCUUUGCGCGAUAGUAGGUGAGCUCCGCGGUACAGUUAUAAAAAGCUCCGCGCGAUAGUAGGUGAGCUCCGCGGUACAGUUAAAAAGCUCUGCGCGACAGUAGGUGAGCUCCGCGGUACAGUUAAAAAGCUCCGCGCGACAGUAGGUGAGCUCCGCGGUACAGUUAAAAAGCUCUGCGCGACAGUAGGUGAGCUCCGCGGUACAGUUAAAAAGCUCUGCGCGACAGUAGGUGAGCUCCGCGGUACAGUUAAAAAGCUCCGCGCGACAGUAGGUGAGCUCCGCGGUACAGUUAAAAAGCUCUGCGCGACAGUAGGUGAGCUCCGCGGUACAGUUAAAAAGCUCUGCGCGACAGUAGGUGAGCUCCGCGGUACAGUUAAAAAGCUCCGCGCGACAGUAGGU
Molecule: long non-coding RNA, 564 nt
Organism: Astyanax mexicanus (Mexican tetra)
Lineage: Eukaryota; Metazoa; Chordata; Actinopteri; Characiformes; Acestrorhamphidae
Exons: 2
Source: RefSeq, a predicted model, not a curated record